Molecule: ribosomal RNA, 583 nt
Filed under: uncultured bacterium
Lineage: Bacteria
Description: partial 16S ribosomal RNA
Rfam family: Bacterial small subunit ribosomal RNA
Source: RNAcentral
UGGGGAAUUUUGGACAAUGGGCGAAAGCCUGAUCCAGCAAUGCCGCGUGUGUGAAGAAGGCCUUCGGGUUGUAAAGCACUUUUGUCCGGAAAGAAAUCCUUGGUUCUAAUACAGUCGGGGGAUGACGGUACCGGAAGAAUAAGCACCGGCUAACUACGUGCCAGCAGCCGCGGUAAUACGUAGGGUGCAAGCGUUAAUCGGAAUUACUGGGCGUAAAGCGUGCGCAGGCGGUUUGCUAAGACCGAUGUGAAAUCCCCGGGCUCAACCUGGGAACUGCAUUGGUGACUGGCAGGCUAGAGUAUGGCAGAGGGGGGUAGAAUUCCACGUGUAGCAGUGAAAUGCGUAGAGAUGUGGAGGAAUACCGAUGGCGAAGGCAGCCCCCUGGGCCAAUACUGACGCUCAUGCACGAAAGCGUGGGGAGCAAACAGGAUUAGAUACCCUGGUAGUCCACGCCCUAAACGAUGUCAACUAGUUGUGGGGAUUCAUUCCUUAGUAACGUAGCUAACGCGUGAAGUUGACCGCCUGGGGAGUACGGUCGCAAGAUUAAAACUCAAAUGAAUUGACGGGGUCAUAGCUGUUUCCU